GGCCCAAUGGUCUAGUAGUAUGAUUCGCGCUUCGGGUCUCCUGAGCUUGCGCGAGGUCCCGGGUUCAAUUCCCGGUUGGGCCC
Non-coding RNA from Trametes polyzona, 83 nucleotides. Lineage: Eukaryota; Fungi; Basidiomycota; Agaricomycetes; Polyporales; Polyporaceae. The record is from the annotation of a GenBank genome assembly.